CAUGCUAGGCAUCGAACUGUUGAAAGUCGAUCUCAUCAAUCAAAGGCCAUGCACAUUCUUGUGUUAUGGAUGAAUGUCGGGUUCCUGUGUUGCAUACCCACGAAAGUGGAAAUCGGUUAUGUUAUGGGUUGGUAUUCGCCUAUGCCUGUCAAGGGUUAGUGGUGAACAUGGAAGCACCUCUUGUGUUCCAAACAUGUUAAUGCAACUGUUUUGGCACAUUCGUAGGUUCUCGUGGUCUCGGAUGCGGAAAUUAUUUUGUAGCUGGGAGAUCGGAUCUCUCAAUUGCUCAAAACAUUCAUUAUGGUACGAACGACAUGUAGCGCUUGCUUCCAGCCCUCCUCAUGCUACGACGUUGGUAUGUUGAGGAAUGGAGUAAGCGUUGCGUUCGUGAAGGAAUGC
Molecule: unclassified non-coding RNA, 399 nt
Filed under: Tragia volubilis
Lineage: Eukaryota; Viridiplantae; Streptophyta; Magnoliopsida; Malpighiales; Euphorbiaceae
Description: partial external transcribed spacer
Source: RNAcentral